Molecule: unclassified non-coding RNA, 202 nt
Filed under: Hevea brasiliensis (rubber tree)
Lineage: Eukaryota; Viridiplantae; Streptophyta; Magnoliopsida; Malpighiales; Euphorbiaceae
Source: RNAcentral
UAGAAAUUGAGUUCAAAAUUGGAAACAAAAUAAGCUAAACUCAUUAAGCUACUAACUAGUGCUUCCAUUGGGGACUCUCUCGUAAAAUAAGAUGUACCCGUGGUCUGUAUUGCUGGAAUACUCUUGAGCGGACCCAAAAAAUGUUUGAACAGCUGACUCAUCAAUCAUCUCAACAUUUUCAUCAUCAAAGAACAACCAGUGG